UACGGGGGGGGCAAGCGUUGUUCGGAAUUACUGGGCGUAAAGAGCUCGUAGGCGGUUUGUCGCGUCUGCUGUGAAAACUCAGGGCUUAACCCUGAGCUUGCAGUGGGUACGGGCAGACUAGAGUGCGGUAGGGGAGACUGGAAUUCCUGGUGUAGCGGUGAAAUGCGCAGAUAUCAGGAGGAACACCGGUGGCGAAGGCGGGUCUCUGGGCCGUAACUGACGCUGAGGAGCGAAAGCAUGGGGAGCGAACAGG
Molecule: ribosomal RNA, 253 nt
Filed under: uncultured bacterium
Lineage: Bacteria
Description: partial 16S ribosomal RNA
Rfam family: Bacterial small subunit ribosomal RNA
Source: RNAcentral